This 253-nucleotide ribosomal RNA is filed under the name uncultured bacterium. RNAcentral's name for it is "partial 16S ribosomal RNA". It matches the Rfam family "Bacterial small subunit ribosomal RNA", at positions 524 to 776 of the family's 1533-position model. The record is from RNAcentral.
GACAGAGGUCCCGAGCGUUGUUCGGAUUCAUUUGGCGUAAAGGGUGUGUAGGAGGCUAGGUAAGUCAGGUGUGAAAUCUCAGAGCUUAACUCUGAAACUGCGCUUGAUACUGCUUGGCUAGAGGAUCGGAGGGGGUAACGGAAUUUAUGGUGUAGCAGUGAAAUGCGUAGAUAUCAAGAGGAACACCAGUGGCGAAGGCGAGUCCCUGGACAACACCUGACACUGAGGCACGAAAGCGUGGGGAGCAAACAGG